AGAAUCAACGCUGGCGGCGUGCCUAACACAUGCAAGUCGAACGAGAAAGUGGAGCAAUCCAUGAGUAAAGUGGCGACCGGGUGAGUAACACGUGACUAACCUACCUUCGAGUGGGGGAUAACCUCGGGAAACCGAGGCUAAUACCGCAUAACAUCGUGAGAUCAAAGCAGUAAUGCGCUGGAAGAGGGGUCGCGGCUGAUUAGCUAGUUGGCGGGUAAUGGCCCACCAAGGCGAAGAUCGGUA
RNAcentral lists this ribosomal RNA (243 nucleotides) under uncultured bacterium. RNAcentral's name for it is "partial small subunit ribosomal RNA". It matches the Rfam family "Bacterial small subunit ribosomal RNA", at positions 26 to 285 of the family's 1533-position model. The record is from RNAcentral.